This 330-nucleotide non-coding RNA is filed under the name Pan troglodytes (chimpanzee). Lineage: Eukaryota; Metazoa; Chordata; Mammalia; Primates; Hominidae. The record is from RNAcentral.
CCCGUCCUGAAGGCCUAGAGGGUGCCCCCUGUGCCCCGCGGCUCCCCAGCACCUGCUUCUCGUUUCACAUCUUGAAGUUUGACUGCCCUGACACUGCCAUACUGUAAGGAAGCUUAAAACAGCUCAUAUGGAGAAACCACAUGGAGAAGACCUGAGACUUCAGAGAAAGAGAGAUAGAUGCUUUGCCAGCUGCAUGCUAAUCCAGUUUCAAUCAUUGUUUGGCUGCAACAGCAUGAGAGAUCCCAAACUAGAACCACCCAGCUGAGCCCUUCCCAAAUUCUUCAGCCACAGAAAGUAUGAGAGACAGUAAAAUCGGUGUUUUUAUUUUAA